UACGUAGGGGGCAAGCGUUGUCCGGAUUUAUUGGGCGUAAAGAGCGUGUAGGCGGCCAGAUAGGUCUGUUGUGAAAACUGGAGGCUUAACCUUCAGAGGUCGAUGGAAACCAUCUGGCUAGAGUCCGGAAGAGGAGAAUGGAAUUCCUGGUGUAGCGGUGGAAUGCGCAGAUAUCGGGAGGAACACCUAUGGCGAAGGCAGCUCGCUGGGACGUUACUGACGCUGAGACGCGAAAGCGUGGGGAGCAAACAGG
This 253-nucleotide ribosomal RNA is filed under the name uncultured bacterium. RNAcentral describes it as "partial 16S ribosomal RNA". It matches the Rfam family "Bacterial small subunit ribosomal RNA", at positions 524 to 776 of the family's 1533-position model. The record is from RNAcentral.